CACGUAGGGUGCGAGCGUGUCCGGAAUUAUUGGGCGUAAAGAGCUCGUAGGCGGUGUGUCGCGUCGGCCGUGAAAACCUGCAGCUUAACUGUGGGCUUGCGGUCGAUACGGGGCAUCACUGGAGUUCGGCAGGGGAGACUGGAAUUCCUGGUGUAGAGUGAAAUUCGUAGAUAUCGGGAGGAACACCAGUGGCGAAGGCGGCUCUCGUGGCCAUCAACUGACGGCUGAGACGCGAAAGCGUGGGGGAGCAAACAGG
Molecule: ribosomal RNA, 256 nt
Filed under: uncultured bacterium
Lineage: Bacteria
Description: partial 16S ribosomal RNA
Rfam family: Bacterial small subunit ribosomal RNA
Source: RNAcentral